AGAAAGUUCGCUUCGGCGGAUUANUAAAGUGGCGCACGGGUGAGUAACGCGUGGAUAAUCUGCCCUUAAGUCGGGAAUAACUCAUCGAAAGGUGGGCUAAUACCGGAUAAUGCUGGUUUUACCUCGGUAAUGCAGCCAAAGGGGGCCUCUACUUGUAAGCUCUUGCUUAAGGAUGAGUCCGCGUACCAUUAGCUAGUUGGUGGGGUAAUGGCCUACCAAGGCUACGAUGGUUAGCUGGUCUGAGAGGAUGAUCAGCCACACUGGAACUGAGACACGGUCCAGACUCCUACGGGAGGCAGCAGUGAGGAAUCUUGCGCAAUGGGGGCAACCCUGACGCAGCAACGCCGCGUGAGUGAGGAAGGUUUUCGGAUCGUAAAGCUCUGUCCGGUGGAAAGAAAGGCAUGGGAGCUAAUAUCUCCCAUGUUUGACGGUACCACCAAAGGAAGCACCGGCUAACUCCGUGCCAGCAGCCGCGGUAAUACGGGGGGUGCAAGCGUUGUUCGGAAUUAUUGGGCGUAAAGAGCGUGUAGGCGGCUUGAUAAGUCAGAUGUGAAAGCCCUGGGCUUAACCCAGGAAGUGCAUUUGAAACUGUCUCGCUAGAAUAGGGGAGGGGGAAGUGGAAUUCCUGGU
Molecule: ribosomal RNA, 630 nt
Filed under: uncultured delta proteobacterium
Lineage: Bacteria; Deltaproteobacteria
Description: bacterial SSU rRNA
Rfam family: Bacterial small subunit ribosomal RNA
Source: RNAcentral